GACGAACGCUGGCGGCGUGCCUAAUACAUGCAAGUAGAACGCUGAAGAGAGGAGCUUGCUCUUCUUGGAUGAGUUGCGAACGGGUGAGUAACGCGUAGGUAACCUGCCUUGUAGCGGGGGAUAACUAUUGGAAACGAUAGCUAAUACCGCAUAACAAUGGAUGACACAUGUCAUUUAUUUGAAAGGGGCAAUUGCUCCACUACAAGAUGGACCUGCGUUGUAUUAGCUAGUAGGUGAGGUAAUGGCUCACCUAGGCGACGAUACAUAGCCGACCUGAGAGGGUUGUCCGCCCCACUGGGACUUGGCCACGGCCCCGACCCCUACGGGAGGCAGCCGUAGGGAAACCUCGGCCAUUGGGGCAACCCUGACCGAGCAACGCCGCGUGAGUGAAGAAGGUUUUCGGAUCGUAAAGCUCUGUUGUAAGUCAAGAACGGGUGUGAGAGUGGAAAGUUCACACUGUGACGGUAGCUUACCAGAAAGGGACGGCUAACUACGUG
RNAcentral lists this ribosomal RNA (497 nucleotides) under uncultured bacterium. Its description in RNAcentral is "partial 16S ribosomal RNA". It matches the Rfam family "Bacterial small subunit ribosomal RNA", at positions 28 to 507 of the family's 1533-position model. The record is from RNAcentral.